RNAcentral lists this ribosomal RNA (167 nucleotides) under uncultured rumen bacterium. Its description in RNAcentral is "partial 16S ribosomal RNA". It matches the Rfam family "Bacterial small subunit ribosomal RNA", at positions 340 to 524 of the family's 1533-position model. The record is from RNAcentral.
UACGGGAGGCAGCAGUGGGGGAUAUUGCACAAUGGAGGGAACUCUGAUGCAGCGACGCCGCGUGGGUGAAGAAGUUAUUCGUAAUGUAAAGCCCUAUCAGCAGGGAAGAUAAUGACGGUACCUGACUAAGAAGCCCCGGCUAACUACGUGCCAGCAGCCGCGGUAAU